Molecule: long non-coding RNA, 813 nt
Organism: Lagopus muta (rock ptarmigan)
Lineage: Eukaryota; Metazoa; Chordata; Aves; Galliformes; Phasianidae
Exons: 3
Source: RefSeq, a predicted model, not a curated record
GGUUACAGAAUGAUUAUUCCCUUUUCCCCUCAAUUAGUAGGCAAACAAUGUCAAUUUGAUCCCUUUGUAGCUGUUACAAUUAGGUCUUGCUUGCGCUUUUCCAAGUUUACACUGCUCUUAACUGUCUCUUUGUGGCUGCAGCAGAUACUGUAAUAUCUCCCUGCUUAACAGCUAGAACAGCUAUAGUUAUUCAGAGUCCAAAACUGAAAGUGCAACCAACAAAUGACGUUUAUCUCAAAAACAGCAUUAUUUCAACAAAUUUAGCAAACUUUACCAUCCUUCCCCUUCCACUUUUUCUAAUUUCCCUUGACUUGUGUUCACUCCCUCCACUUUUUUCUCUUCUCAUUAUUUCCUUUGAUUUCUUCUUGUGGCUUCUGGAUACCAAAGCUCCAGAUGUGCAGUAUGUUUUUAAGGGCUUGUCACUGAGAGCAACGACCUUUUCCUGAAGCAGCUUUUCAUAGGCACUCAUGGUUACUUCAUGACACAGCGAUGUGCACAUCUAAGUAACAUGAUUUCAGGAACUGGGAAAGAGGAAGGUGCAGUUCAGUAAUGUGGAUGGUACAAUGACCCUGCCUGAUCACAUGUUGGGAAUGGAGAUCAGAGAGAAGCUUCAACACUUGGAUCCUGGUGUCCUGGGCCUGGAACACCAUCACUGCCCAGCUUAUUAAGGGGAGGUCAGCCCUAGAAUUAGCCCUAAAUUGAGUCCUCUGCUACACUACUUCUGAGAAGAUGGUCCUGAAUGAAAGGGGACCCUGAGCACUGACAGCUGUAUUCCAGCAAAGGGUGAAAAGCACCAAGAAGUGACUUCCAGUA